UGGCGAACGGGUGAGUAACACGUGGGUGAUCUGCCUUGCACUCUGGGAUAAGCUUGGGAAACUGGGUCUAAUACCGGAUAGGAACCGUCUUUAGUGUGGUGGUUGGAAAGUUUUUUCGGUGCAAGAUGAGCUCGCGGCCUAUCAGCUUGUCGGUGGGGUAAUGGCCUACCAAGGCGUCGACGGGUAGCCGGCCUGAGAGGGCGACCGGCCACACUGGGACUGAGACACGGCCCAG
Molecule: ribosomal RNA, 235 nt
Filed under: uncultured Actinomycetales bacterium
Lineage: Bacteria; Bacillati; Actinomycetota; Actinomycetes; Actinomycetales
Description: partial 16S ribosomal RNA
Rfam family: Bacterial small subunit ribosomal RNA
Source: RNAcentral